Salmo salar (Atlantic salmon) is the source of this 54-nucleotide non-coding RNA. The record is from Rfam. Lineage: Eukaryota; Metazoa; Chordata; Actinopteri; Salmoniformes; Salmonidae.
UUCACGCAUGAAUGUAAAUCGCUUUGGAUAAAAGUGUCUGCUAAAUUGUACAUA